Molecule: ribosomal RNA, 406 nt
Filed under: uncultured bacterium
Lineage: Bacteria
Description: partial 16S ribosomal RNA
Rfam family: Bacterial small subunit ribosomal RNA
Source: RNAcentral
GAUGAACGCCGUCUGAAUGCUUAACACAUCAGCAAUUGACUGGUGGCGGACGGGUGAGUCACGCGUAAAGAACUUGCCUCACAGGUAUGGACAACAUUUGGCAACGAAUGCUACUAUAUACUACUGUGAGAGAGGUUUGCGUCGUCUUAGCUAGUUGGAGAGGUAACGGCUCACCAACGCGAGGAUGGGUAGCCGGCCUGUGAGGGUGAUCGGCCACAAGGGGACUGAGACACGGCCCUUACUCCUACGGGAGGCAGCAGUGGGGAAUAGUGAACAAUGGACCAAAGUCUGAUCCAGCAAUUCUGUGUGCACGAUGAAGUUUUCGGAAUGUAAAGUGCUUUCAGUUGGGAAGCGGUACCAACAGAAGAAGUGACGGCUAAAUACGUGCCAGCCGCCGCGGUAAUAC